RNAcentral lists this transfer RNA (66 nucleotides) under Hydrophilidae sp. BMNH 1274336. RNAcentral's name for it is "tRNA-Asp". The record is from RNAcentral. Lineage: Eukaryota; Metazoa; Arthropoda; Insecta; Coleoptera; Hydrophilidae.
GAAAAUUUAGUUAAAAUAUAACAUUAGUUUGUCAUUCUAAAAUUAUUAAAUUAUUAAUAAUUUUCA